Molecule: ribosomal RNA, 373 nt
Filed under: uncultured bacterium
Lineage: Bacteria
Description: bacterial SSU rRNA
Rfam family: Bacterial small subunit ribosomal RNA
Source: RNAcentral
GACGAACGCUGGCGGCGUGCUUAACACAUGCAAGUCGAGCGGUAAGGCCCUUUCGGGGGUACACGAGCGGCGAACGGGUGAGUAACACGUGGGUGACCUGCCUUUAGCUCUGGGAUAAGCCUGGGAAACUGGGUCUAAUACCGGAUAUGACCCUAUGGCGCAUGUUGUGGGGUGGAAAGCCUUGUGCGGCUAGGGAUGGGCCCGCGGCCUAUCAGCUUGUUGGUGGGGUGAUGGCCUACCAAGGCGACGACGGUAGCCGGCCUGAGAGGGCGACCGGCCACACUGGGACUGAGACACGGCCCAGACUCCUACGGGAGGCAGCAGUGGGGAAUCUUGCGCAAUGGCGAAAGCCUGACGCAGCGACGCCGCGUGA